Molecule: long non-coding RNA, 3208 nt
Organism: Caenorhabditis elegans
Lineage: Eukaryota; Metazoa; Nematoda; Chromadorea; Rhabditida; Rhabditidae
Gene: linc-120
Product: ncRNA
Source: Ensembl
UUUUCCACACUACAAAAAAGAUAAAUUGGUUUGCACAAAAUUCCAAACUGAUAUUAAACGGAUAACUUUUUUGGAAUCCCUUUAUGUAAAAAGAUUUUUCAAAGAAUUUCAGAUUAUUAUAUGACGAUGUGAAUCCCCAUUUCCAUGUUAUCAUCUUGUUAUCACAUUGAAUCUGAAAACCAAUAAAAUUUGUAUAUCCCCUCUAUAAAUUAAUGAACACCUUCUGCAGAAUAUGUAUACAAACUGCUUGUUAUCCCAUGGUCACACAUAAUAAAAACGAAUAUUUUCCACUUGACUGAUAAGCGCCUCCUCUUUUUCGCUCUUCCUUUCACUAUUUAUCCCAUCUUUUAUCCAUAUAUAGAUGAACUUGUAAAUAGAGAACUAGUUCAGUUGGAAAGAACACAUAGAUCAUCGUUUUAUUAUAAAAAUGCUGGAACCAACUUUUUCGUUCUUUAUUAGUUAGUUUCAUAAAUUUCAUUCCCUUGCAAUCUCUUGUUUCUAAGAUUUCACUAAACUUCCGGUUCUAUUGGAUUUUUUUUGAACAUUUCCACUCGAGACCAAUCCUCUACAAAUAUUUAUUUUAGAGAAAUUCAUAUAAGGAUUGAGAAAACGCUUGGUUUACUAGAUUCUCUAUAUAUUGAAAAAUGAAUUGUCUUGGGGUAAAAGAUGAAAGCAUGCCUAUUUCUAUUUCAAACCCCGAUGGCUCCAAGAGCUGACUCGGAAUUAAGAUUUCAGUUUCGCAACUCUUGUUCACAGUGCAUCACCCAGCUUGUCCGAACCGCGUGUUCUCAGCUUUCUAAAAAUAUUUUUUUCGUCCCAAAAAUCACAAUUUCAUUUUUUGGUCAUUUUCCGAAAGGCAAAGGUCCAGUUUCAUUUUUCGGAGCGAAGGACGAUUUUGGAGAUGGACAGUGUUUUUUGAAAGAUUUUUAGGACAUUGUAGAAACCUCAAAAAAGUGAUCAUUUUUCAAAAUUUCAAGUCGAUACGUUUGAUAUGAAGAGUUUUAUGAGCGAAAUUGGAUUUUUUUGAAAAACGGUCUGUAACUUGGCUGAACAUGAAAAUAUCCAAAAACUUAAAACUGGUAAAAUGUGGAGAAAUAUUUCUUAUUCACUAUUCAACAAAAUUUAUCUUCUGAAAUUCAAUGAAAGUUGAGUUAUAAAGGUACAACAAAAGAGUUAUAAAAUUUUUUAGUGAAUUUCGGUAAAAUGGAUUUGACUCCGUGUAACUCUACAAAAGUUGGUGUAUUGAAAUAAAAACUAUUGAGUUAAAAAGAAAAAAUAUGUUUAAUCAUUUUGUUAGUGGACAUUUGUUUUCCAGACAUGUAUUUUUCGAGAUACGCGAGUUUGAAAAUACUCAGUUUAGCGAUUUUAUGAGGUUAUUUGGUCCGCUGAGCAUGAUGUUUAUCAAUGGUGGGCGGCAAUUGCCGUUCUGAAAUUGUUUUGGCAGAACGGCAAUUUCCGGUUUACCGGAAAUUUUCAUUCUUGCCAAGAAGCCGGUUUGCCGCUUCACGUAUUCUUUAGAUAUUUUUAUACCGAUUAAAAUUGAAAUUCUGGAAUUUUGGUAAUUGUCGUUUUCCGGCAAAAUGCCGGUGUACCGCUUUUUGUCGGAAAAAACAUUUUCCGGCCCACACCUAAAGUGCUUUAGAGUCUCAUUUCUUUUCCUAUACUUUCAUUUUUUCAAAGUCCCAAUCCAGGUGUACAUCACGCUCAGCGAACCAAAUAACCGCCUAAACUCGCUAAACUGAGUAUCUUCAAACUGGCGCAUCUCAAAAAAUAUACGUCUGGGGAAACAAAUGUGGAACUAACAAAAUGAUUAGAAAUACAUUUGAAAAAGUUUAGAGCCAUAGCCCUCGGUUCAGAUAUGUUUGAAACUAAAGCCUAGUGGAAGCCCAACCGGGUCUGACAUCCAGAUUCAAAUUAUGUCUUAUAGUUUCAACAACUCUCAUUAUAGAUCGUUAUGGAUCAUUAUGAUCACAAGUUUUUCGAUCAUCUAAUUUAGAAACAUUGAAAACUACAGUAUUCCUACAAAAAUGACCAUAAGGUUCACAUUCCAUGUACCACUCAUUACUGGUUUCUCCAUCUUCUUUUCAACCGUUUUUUGUCUAUUUUUAUUUCGUUUUCUAUACCUGUCAUAUGGUGUUUUCUAACUAGUUAUUCUCCUGUUUUUAUCUCACUUUUUCUUGGGAGUUGCCCAGAGAACAAAAAGAUGAAGAAGGGUUUCCGGUGGAAACACUUUUUUCGGAAAACUCCUUUUUUUGAUUGAAGGAGUGAAAUAUUACAAGUGUAACCUACACUUAAAGAUGAACAACGCCUUCUUUUUGAUACGUACUUAUACAAAAUUCAUUUUUUUACAGUUUCAUAUUUGUGUGGAUAUCUGAAAUAUUUUCAAAAAAUAUGGUAACUAUGAAAACUACAGUCUAUUUAGCAUUCGUACCAUUUUUUGGUUUUAUGAAAAAUAAACUUUAUUAUUUACACUGUUUACUACAUCUUGCAGUCAAUUUUAAUUUGGAAAUAUCAAUUAAGCUACAGUACCCUAAUUAGUCUAAUCUGACACUAUCAUUGAUGUUUCAAUUAAGGCGAGAUAUCAGAGUCUCGCUGUUAUUUUUAUUUUGCAAAUCGAAAUGCUUUAGAUUAAUGAAAAUCAGUUCAAACAUCCGUUACCUGAAGCUAAAACGUUUUCUUCUACUCCACUUCACUCAAGCACUUCAAUUUUCGUUUUCUUUGGUUAAUCCAAUAUUGUUGAUAUAUUCGUUAAGGAUUCUCAUUAUAAACACGCAAUUCUCCACAGUAUGAUGCAUCGCAAGUUUUCAUUUUCCGCCGACAUUUCUCUCUCACUCUUUAGCUGUUUUCAUUCAUUUUCCCUAAUUUGGUUGCGUAAUCCGAGUACAAGUUUUACCCCAUAAACUGCCCGUACUUUCCGUCUCAUUAGUCUCUUUCUGUUUGAGAAAUGAAAAGUGGCGAUGGUGGUGGCCAUUUGUGUGCUACGCCCACGCACAAGUGUUCUUUUUCGUUUCAUUUAAGUUUCACACCUUUCAGGUUCACAAUUUCUUUCCCAGAUUGACUCAAGCUAUUAAAGGACUAGACGGUUGAAUUUUUGAAGCACAUGUACAUUGCUCUAGCCUAAUGUACUCCUAGGAUGCAUCCAAUAAAUAUUCUAAUCUUCGUUAAUCAGACAAUUCUACUAGUCUCGUUUUCUAAUAAAUGAUUUUCA